CACACGAUUACGAUUCGUCUCAACUCACCGGUAUCAUAAACCUCCUGAAAUUAUAUUUCGUAAAAAUGUCUCUUUCCUGAAUAAGGCAGGCGAAAUGGAAGAUACAGACGGAAUGUCAAGUAACUCUGCCUCAGAAACAGAGAAUUUAAGCAACGAUGCUCCAGCAGGUAAAGAAAAUUCGAGCAGACACAGGUCUCAUAGUAGUAGUCGACACAAGAAGCACAAGCAUAAAAGUAAAAAGAGCCACCACAAGCAUAAGCAUCACAAGGAUAAAGAUGGACACCGUCGGCAUAAGCACAAGCACAAGAAGCACAAGAGCAGGAAGGAGGAAGAGGAACAACCUCCGGCUGCUGUCCCUUUUGCAGUUGAUGAAUCCGAGUCAGAUAUUGAAUUAGAAGAUACCAUUCCUUUGCCUAAAUUUGAGCCAAAAAUUCCCCAGCAGCAAACCAGUCGGCGGGAAGGCCGCAGGAAGGAGAGGGAGUACAUUGAUGAAUCCCUUGCUGCUCUAGAGAAGCAGAAGGAGCUUCUGCAAGCUCAGCUGCUGGCUACAGCUGACGAUGAACACUCUGGAAUGAACUUGAUUGCUCAGGGUUACCAGUCCGAUGAAGAAGAAGAUGAAGACACUGUUCUGAAACAGUCCCUCUCAAAGUGGAUCCAUUCAGGGAGUUCCAAGGAAUCCUCCAAACCAUCCUCAAAAUCAGAAUCUAAAGACAAUGAGCGAUCAGACCGGAGGAAGCGGGAAAGGGAAGAUGAGAGCUCUCAAAAGAAACGACACCGCAGUAAGUCGCCAACCACUGAGCGUUCUUCUAGCAGCAGGGUUGAUAACAGCAAUUCUAAAUCCUCUGAAAGCAGGACUAGUAGAGACAGUCAUUUAUCGAGUGAUAAGAAACAUUCCAAGGACAAAGACAACAGAAGAGAAUCUAGAAAAUCACCAAGUGCCACUAAAUCUGAGCAGAGGGAGCCUAAAGAUGGUAAGGAGUCGAAAGACCGAAGGAAAGCAUCAGUACGUGACACUAGGGGGUCGCCCAAGCGAGAGCACAGAUCAGGAGAGAAAGCUAAAAGGGAGAGUAGCAGGGACUCUAAACCCCACAGGAGCAGGUCUCCAAUAAAAGAGAGGACAUUUACUGAAACUGCAAGGAGUAGACCAAGUCCACCCCGUCGAUCCCCUCCCCCUCGUCGGCCUCCUUCCCCUCCAAGCCGCCGUCCAGACCGAAGUAGAUCCCCCCUUGGUCGAAGGGGGCGGAGUCCCAUCGAGAGGCGGGGCAGGAGCCCCUUGGAGAGGCGAGUAAGAGGCAGCAGGUCGCCAGUCAAUAGGUUUGAUAGAAGGAGGGGGAUAUCCCCGCCAAGGCGGUUUGGAGACAUGUCACGCAAUAGAAGAAGACGAAGUAGGAGUCCUGAUAGACGAGGAAGAAGAAGGUGGGGAAGGAGCAGGAGUAGGUCACCUAGAGAUAAAUUCAAAGGCAGUCUGUCAGAGGGACUGUCAUUGAAACAGGAGUCAUCUGAUGAUGAAAUCCCUGAUGUUGACUUAGAUGAAGAGGAAGAUGAAGAAGCAGUUAUUGAGAGAAGAAGAAGAGAGAGGCAGCAACUAAUGCAGAAAUACAAAGUUGCUGAGGCAGCAGAGAGUGCAGCAUCAAGCCCCGCUCAGGUGCCUUCCGAGCCCACAUCCAACCCACAGUCACCCCAGCCCAGUGAGCAAGAAGAUAGCAGUGAACAGAGCCAGGAUUCAGAGGAUGAUGAAGACGAAGAAGAGGAAGAAGAGGAGGAGGAGGAAGUGGAGAAGGAGGAGGAGAGUGAAAAGAGCAGUUCAUCAGAUUCGGACAAUGACAGCAGUGAAGAAGAAAGCAGGGCCAGCAGUGAUGACGAGGAAGAGGAUGAUAGAGAUACAGCAAGGAUAGAUGAAGAGGAAAGACUCCGGGAAGAGGAGGAGGAGGCGGAGAGAGAGAGGAGGAGGGAGUUGGAGAGGAAGAGAUUAAAGGAGGCGUUUCCUCAGAGUGAUAGUGAGGAUGAGGAUUCAACCACUAAAGAUGUUGAAGGGAGUAUGGACAAGAACUUGAGCGAUAUUGUCAAACCCAAAUCAGAUAAAGAGCAAGCAACAGCUAAAAAUGGACUGGACAUGUUUAGUGAGGUGGAUAUGUUCAAGAUGAGUCCAUCCACUCGUGAGGGCAUUGGACAGAUGGGACCUGAGAACCCAAGUCUCACUGAUAAUUGGGAUGAUGCUGAAGGAUAUUAUCGGGUGCGUAUUGGAGAGAGCCUUGACAAGCGCUAUACAGUGUAUGGCUACACUGGUCAGGGUGUGUUCAGUAAUGUGGUCAGAGCAAGGGACACAGCCAGAGGUCAGCUGGACGUGGCCAUCAAGAUCAUCCGUAACAAUGAACUCAUGCAAAAGACUGGCCUGAAAGAACUAGAGUAUCUCAGGCGACUCAAUGACCAGGACAGGGAAGAUAAGUUUCAUUGCGUUCGUCUCUUCAGAUCUUUCAGUUACAGGCAGCAUCUUUGUCUUGUCUUUGAACCACUAAGUAUGAACCUUCGAGAGGUGUUGAAGCGAUAUGGCAAGGAUGUAGGGUUACACAUCAAGGCAGUAAGGUCGUACACUCAGCAGCUGUUCCUAGCCCUCAAACUGCUCAAAAGAUGCAACAUCCUGCAUGCUGAUAUCAAACCGGAUAAUAUUCUGGUGAAUGAAUCAAAGACAAUCCUAAAACUCUGUGAUUUUGGUUCAGCCUCACAUGUAGCUGAUUGUGACAUCACUCCAUAUCUUGUCAGCAGAUUCUAUCGUGCUCCUGAAAUAAUCAUUGGUAUGAGCUACGAUGCAGCCAUAGAUCUCUGGAGCACAGCCUGCACCAUCUUUGAACUAGCCGCCGGUAAGAUCAUGUUCCCUGGCAAGACCAACAAUCACAUGCUGAAACUCUUCAUGGACCUCAAGGGCAAGAUGCCCCAUCGGAUAAUCCGCAAGGGCAUGCUGCGGGACAAGCACUUCGACUCCAACUGCAACUUCAAGUAUGUGGAAGUGGACAAGGUCACAGAGAGGGAGAAAGUGACUGUGAUGACCGUCAUCAACCCGACCAAAGACCUGACCACGGAGCUGCUGGGUUACCAACGUUUACCAGAUGACCAACAACGCAAGGUUCUGCAACUCAAGGAUGUGUUAGACCGGUGUCUCAUGUUAGAUCCUUCAAAGCGGAUCUCCAUCAGCGAAGUGCUACGACAUUCUUUCAUCCAGGAGAAGAUCUAAACGGGGGCAAGGGUAUCCCCUUCUGGGGUCCCCUCCCAGCCUUGCCCUGAAUGACGCACUCCAUGUGGUGCUAGACGAGCGGUAGUAGUACUCUUGAGAUGUCAUUAGCCAUCAGGUUUCCACAUGGCAACCUCUCUUUAUUGUACUUUACGUUGACUGCAGAAUGUUCUUGCUUCAACUCAGGUUCUGUAAUAGAGCUAUGUUCCGUAUCAUAGCUUAUUUUUUACAUUUAUUAAUCAUUUUAAAGAUGACCAUCUGAAUUUUAGAAGAUUUUGCUUUGUAUAUUUGUGGAUGUGCAUAGAGUGCAUAAGCUAUUUUUCUGCAGGUGUUAAUGGGUAAAUCUUCAUAUGGGGUACUCUCUCUUCAGAGUGCUGUGUGAGUUCAUGUCGUACUUUUUAUAUUAUAUUGCACGAUUUAUUUUGUAUUCAAUUGUGGUUCCUGAGAGCGUGAUUGGACAGGCAGCUUUUGAAGAAGAGAAGGUAAGAGGUCAUUAAUUGAGGUAAGUUUUUAGAAGUUUGAGAAAUCAGUGAAACUUUUUUUUCAAGAGGUGGGGGACCUGCUACCCCAACUUCUCAGGCCAACAAGAUUUGAGCUUUUUCAUUAAUAUUUACCCCAUUUAUAAAUUAUUUGAUUCCAACGAGUAUUACAUAACUGAAAUAAUCAAGUGAAAGUAUUUUCCAUUUUCUUCUUAUUUGUUGAUACUUUCUUUUCAUACUAAUUGGAAUAGAUCAUAGAUAUCUUGCUCAUUAUUUCAAUCAUUUCUCAAGAGCUACCAUAGAGACUUCUCAUUGUACACAUCAGUUUGUAAGAAAUUGCUUUUUUUAAGAAAUAGGUUCAGCUGAUUUGUUUUCUUGUGUUCUUCUUCCAGAACUGUUCGGCUGCCGAGGGCACACCGGGUUGUACAACACAGAACUAUUAAAAUCAUGUCGCUGGUUCAACUGGGGAGUGCUCAGCUCAAGCAGAGUUUGUUUAUAAAGUGCAUUGUCAGUAGCAGAACUGUGCAGGGUAAAGUACAUGUGUGAAUGGAGUGUGUUAAUUUCAAUGAUUAUGUACUAUGAUAUGCAUGUAAAUAUUACUGAAGGGGGAAAUCCCAACACGGGAAAGGGGGAAAGCCCCCAGUGGGAAAUUCCUAGAGGGAAAUCACAAAUGUGUCUAUACAGGCUGGCAUUGCAGGGAUAGAUACCCCGGUAUAUUAUCAUUUUAUGACUUGAGUCUAAUUAUGAUUUAAAGUUUGAUAAAAUUGCACAUUUAAUAUUCUGAUAGCAAAUUUGACUUAAAAACUGAAUCUGGCAGAUCAAAUCUGAAAUAAUUACCAUUUUGAAUGUCAGGUUGCUAUAUUGAAUAAGAACAGUUUAAAUGAUAAUCAGCUCUCCUCUUCAUCACCAUAUGCCUGUAUUUAAAGCUUAGAUCAUUUUAAAGUGUGUGAAAUGUUGGUAUUUAAUUCUGAUGUUAAACAUGCACCCCUGUCUUUUUCCUCGGCUGUCAGUUUAUUCAAACCAAACUUAUUUUGUCUUGUGCGUUGUAUAGGAUAUAUUCACUACAGUUUGCUUUAGGAACUGAAUUGACUGGUUUUAUGCUUGUAUAAGUCAAUAUCAAGACUGUUUUCCUAUGUUUAAAGUACAAAAGAUUGGUGAUAUUGUCGUAUGUCAUACAUGUACAAGUAUGUAUGACAAGAAUGAAUGAUUCUUAAUGUUGGGGUCAGAUAAUUUGUUACACAUUACUAUGAUGUUUUCUUUUUCUGUUUUGAUAUUUUUUUGUAUAUAGUCUUGAAAAAGAGCACAAUCAAUAUCUAUCAUUGAUUUUUUUAAUGGUAUCUGUAGAAGCAAAUAGAUGAUAUUCUGUUAAAAUGGAUUUCAUUUGAACUUUGAUCUUGUAAGAGAGGACGGAUCAUGUAAAGUUUCUGAAAAGAUCAAGAAUAUGUGAAAAAAAUGUUACGAAAUACAACUUAGAUGGAAAAC
This 5187-nucleotide unclassified non-coding RNA is filed under the name Lytechinus variegatus (green sea urchin). RNAcentral describes it as "serine/threonine-protein kinase PRP4 homolog, transcript variant X1". The record is from RNAcentral. Lineage: Eukaryota; Metazoa; Echinodermata; Echinoidea; Temnopleuroida; Toxopneustidae.